AAAUGCGCCGAUUGUGAUUAUGGGACAAAUGUUAAAAACAACUUCAAUCGACAUCUUUUAACACAUAAAGUUUCUAAGGAAAUUAAAUGUGCUAUUUGUGAUUAUGAAACAAACAAGAAAUACUGCUUUAAUCGACACCUUUUAAUACAUAAGGUUUCUAAGGAUUUUAAAUGUGCUAAUUGUAAUUAUGAGACAAAUCGUAAAUGGAACUUACAACAACAUGUUUUAAAACAUAAAGUUUCCAAGGAUUUUAAAUGCGCUGAUUGUGAUUAUGGGACAAAUAUUAAAAGCAGCUUCAAACAACAUCUUUUAACCCAUAAAGUUUCGAAGGAUUUGAAAUGUGCUAUUUGUGGUUAUGGGACAAACAUUAAGUAUAACUUUAACCAACACGUCUUAACACACAAAGUUUCUAAGUAUUUUAAAUGUGCUGAUUGUGAUUAUGGGACAAAUUUUAAAUCCGCCCUUAAAAUACACCUUUUAAAACAUAAGGUUUCUAAAGAUUUUAAAUGUACUAAUUGUGAUUAUGAGACAAAUUAUAAAUCCGAUCUUAAACGACACCUUUUAAAACAUAAAGUUUCUAAGGAUUUAAAAUGUGGUAAUUGUGGUUAUGAAACAAACGUUAAACUCGACUUCAAACGACAUCUUUUAAAACAUGGAGCUUCUAAGGUUUUUAAAUGUGCUACUUGUGAUUAUGGGACAAAUCAUAAACGCUACUUCAAACAACAUAUUUUAAAACAUACAGAUUCUAAGGAUUUUAAAUUAGAAUUUGGGACAAAUAGUACGCUGAAAGGGUCCUGACUCACUACUACAAUUUGAAUAUUUACCAUUUUACCCCAUAGAUUAAUUCAAAAUUGUCCCCUUAUAAGGUAUUUCACAAAAUGCAUUAUAAAUAUAUCAAUAUUAUAUAUAAUAAAAUUGAUGCAUAGCCGACCAGUACCGUUGGCAUAUAUAGAGACACCGUAUCAACGCGUGCGCUGUGCGCCAAUGUCGCGCUCUAGUGCUUAUAUCAAAAAACACAUGUUAUUUGGCUCAUACAUAUAUGUAUAAAAGACAUAUAUGGGCUCAUAUAUAUAAGAGAAAUAUGGCUACAACCAUAUAUAUAAGAGAAGAUAUAUAUGGCUACAACACGUUGAGAUAAAAGGCCUAAACUCCGUACAAUCUGCGCAUGCGAAAGAAACGUCAAAGUUGCAAUGUUAUUAAUUAAAAUGUAGGUUAGGUUAUUGUUUUCAUCACAAGCUGGUAUCUGUUAUAAUGAAUAAACAUAUUCGUAAAUCGUAAUGUACAUUUAAACUCAUAGACUUUUGUCGUUGUUAUACCAAGAGCCAUGUUUCGCUGCGGCAGUAUAAAAUUCGAAAAGGACAGUAUAAGCCCCAUGUUCACAAAUCGUAACCCAAGACAUUUCAAAUACCUACGAAUCGCUAAUAAACCGGACGGCUACUACGGUGAUAAAACUGGAACGCUCCUACUGGCAUAAAUAUACAAAUUUGCUUUCCUACCGCCUCCAAUAAGACAGCCCGAUUGUAGAUGACAACCGACACAAACAGGCCGUCACGUAACUUCAUUGUUCGUCCAUUACAUCAACGGACCCGACACUCACCGCUAGCACGAAGGAAUGGGCCAUCAAAACCAGGCUGUAUAAGACCAUGCACCAAGUCGUUGGCGUUUCAGUUCUUCGUACAAAGAUACCUUGCAAGCGGUCCGACAGAGUUUAUGUGCGAUUGCAAACCCGAACACAACGGCAGUAAGGUCACAAAGUUUCUAACGUGCUCCAAGAUUUCAAUUUGAAAUUGUCUGAACCGGAAUAGUCAAGAGAGCCGUGGACGAGAGAAAGAUUACCAAACCCGUGGGAUAUAAUCUGACUUGACAGAUAAUGUGAAUCGAUCUUAAAUUGUGGACCUAUUAGUUUCUGUAAAGAGAAGGCUGAGAAUUGGGUCGCUGCAAUGAAGUGAUAGAAAGCCCUACGUUCAGUCUGUCGAGAUGCUUCCCUGUUUCUAACUCAAAGGUUCUUCCAAAGAAGUUAUAGUGAAUUGGCAAUUUCAAAUUGAAAUCUUGGAGCACAUUAGAAACUUUGCGACCUUACUGACGUUGUGUUCGGGUUUGCAAUCGCACAUAAACUCUGUCGGACCGUUUGCAAGGCAUCUUUGUACUAAGAACUGAAACCUACAAGUAGCAAACAUUAAAUUGAAUGCAGGGACGUUCACGUACGCCAACGACUUGGUGCAUGGUCUUAUACAGCCGGGUUUUGACGGGCCAUUCCUUCGUGCUAGCGGUGAGUGUCGGGUCCAUUGAUGUAAUGCACAAACAAUAAAGUUAAGUGACGGCCUGUUUGUGUCGGUUGUCAUCUACAAUCGGGCUGUCUUAUUGGAGGCGGUAGGAAAGCAAAUUUGUAUAUU
This is a long non-coding RNA of Photinus pyralis (common eastern firefly), 2393 nucleotides long. RefSeq lists it as uncharacterized. The record is from RefSeq and is a predicted model, not a curated record. The transcript has 4 exons. Lineage: Eukaryota; Metazoa; Arthropoda; Insecta; Coleoptera; Lampyridae.